CGCAGCUGCUGCUCACUCUGUCUAUAUGUCUGCUCCAGGAGUUUAUGGAUUAAUAUCGGGAUCGUUUUACAUCUACACAUUAAAUAUGAGCAGCGGGAUGUCAACAGAGAACAGAAGACUUGAGAUCUGAGCACCAGUGGACAGUGAAGACUAUGGAAGAGAAGAUGUGAUGGCUUUGUGUGGAAAGCUGCUGAAGCCAGCCGGUGACUCCUCAUCAGUCUCUCCAGGCAGCACCCAGCUAUUCUUCUUCCAUCUUGCAGAUGAAAAUACUUUGAUAUAAAUGUAAAACACCCUGGCCAAGUAUACCCUUACUGGGAAGGGGAAAACAGCAGAGGUCAAGAACCAACUUGACCCGGAGAAAGUGAAUGCCAUUAUAGACACGGUGAGAGAAAAAUAUCCGGGUACCGAGGUCAGCGUGAUCCGGGCCCUGCUGCGGAGGAAAUGCAACAAUGAGAGCUACAAAAACAACGUUCCUCCUAAGUGAUGGCCGCCAUUUAUUUUAUUUAGACUUUGCAAGUCCAUAAAUGACGUGAGUCAGUUUAACCAUCAUGUUUUGUUAAUUGUUCAAUUUAUUCAAGUAUGAA
Molecule: long non-coding RNA, 584 nt
Organism: Trematomus bernacchii (emerald rockcod)
Lineage: Eukaryota; Metazoa; Chordata; Actinopteri; Perciformes; Nototheniidae
Exons: 4
Source: RefSeq, a predicted model, not a curated record